GUUCUCUACCUAUAGACAGCAGGCAUGAGAGUUCCCUGAUAGGCAAUUUAUGGCUUCCUCAGCCUUCCAUGCCUUAUCACAGGCCUUUGAUCCCAGCGCUUGGGAGGUAGGUGCAGGAGAAUCUCUGUUAGUUCAAAGCUAAUAUGGUUGACAUAGUUAGUUCUGAUUCUUGAUUCCUGAUUUCUCUUCACUCUUUACCUAACUCCACCCCUUUGGAAUCCACACACAAAUUUGCUCCAUGAGACUCAAUCAGGGUAAAGUUUAUACUGUGAUGCUAGGACCUGACACUUUCUUUUCUUUCUUUUCUUUUCUUUUUUUUUUUUUCAAGACAGGGUUUCUCUGUAUAGUCUUGGCUGUCCUGGAACUCACUUUGUAGACCAGGCUGGUCUCGAACUCAGAAAUCCGCCUAUCUCUGCCUCCCAAGUGCUGGGAUUAAAGGCGUGCGCCACCACCGCCCGGCGACCUGACACUUUCAAUGCUUUGAACCCAAAUAAAUUGUUUCUGGAUGAAGU
RNAcentral lists this long non-coding RNA (512 nucleotides) under Mus musculus (house mouse). RNAcentral's name for it is "long non-coding RNA chr5:43843473-43843985". Lineage: Eukaryota; Metazoa; Chordata; Mammalia; Rodentia; Muridae. The record is from RNAcentral.